Molecule: long non-coding RNA, 884 nt
Organism: Cyanistes caeruleus (blue tit)
Lineage: Eukaryota; Metazoa; Chordata; Aves; Passeriformes; Paridae
Source: RefSeq, a predicted model, not a curated record
AGCUCUGCGGGGGCUGCAGCAUCUCCAGGAGAGCCGGGGAUACCCGAGCAGGGCAGAUCCAGCAGAAACCUGCCAGAAACCUCCACCCUCCCGAAGCAGCUGCUGGGAGCCGAGCCGGAUACCCCGGGGCAUUUCGAAUGGCACUGAUCACCGAUAUUUAAACACCGGAAUCCCACCGGGACGGUGGAAGUUGAGAAAGCCCUGAGGAAUGCUGGUGGCAUCUGGCUGUCCCUUAUCUCCGCUCCUGCCCGGACGGGGUUGUUGGGGUGCGCCCUUCCCGCUGGGAAUUGCACCCCAACAUCCCCGGGAGAGCUGCCUGGCAUCUCUGCCCGCUUCCCCCGCCUCUCCCCCCGCCUCCCCCGGCCAUGAGAGCCACCCACGAGCAAAAGAUCCCCUCCGAAAGGGGGGGAGCGCGCUCAGAUAGCGCAGAAAGUGGGGAAACGCAGCGGGAACCAAGAUAAAAUCGAAUUUUCUUUGCGCCAGUAGAUCCUCGGCUGUGCCAAGGCUGGGGCUCCCGGGCAGUCACACAGGGUUUGUUUGUGAGGGCACAAGGCAUUCACUCCUCCGCCGAAAAUACCCCCCUCACCUAAUUAAAGUUCUCAUUCUGAAAACAAAUAGGGGUUCUCGGAGGAGACAGCGCAGUCUCCCUGAGGGUGUUACUGUCGGGCAGAUCUUUGCAAGUCAUUAGCAACCUCGGGAAAAUGUUGAUCAAAUGGCUGGAAAUGCAGCUUUCCAGUUUUCCACUAAACCGAGCGUAGUAAGCCGCUGCGGCAUAAGCAUCUUCAUAAUGAUGUUUCUGAGCUAACAGGAGGGGCCUGGGGUGUUUUAAUUGCCUUAGUUUCUAAAUAAAUGUAAAGAGAUUUGUACACGUCCUGGAUGCAAAC